Molecule: ribosomal RNA, 236 nt
Filed under: Tremellaceae sp.
Lineage: Eukaryota; Fungi; Basidiomycota; Tremellomycetes; Tremellales; Tremellaceae
Description: partial large subunit ribosomal RNA
Source: RNAcentral
AAACGAUUGAAGUCAGUCGUGGUCUGGGGGCUCAGCCGGUUCUGCCGGUCUACUCCCCCUGACCGGGUCAACAUCAGUUUUGACCGAUGGAUAAUGGUGAGAGGAAUGUAUCACCUCCGGGUGUGUUAUAGCCUCCUAUCGCAUACAUCGGUCGAGACUGAGGAAUGCAGCUCGCCUUUAUGGCCGGGGUUCGCCCACGUUCGAGCUUAGGAUGUUGACAUAAUGGCUUUAAACGA